UUAUGCAAUUUAUGCAUAGAUUUAUUUACUUCUAUAAACAUUUGAGAAGGAAAUUUUAUUAUCUAAAUAUAUCCAAACAAAUUAAAAUGUUAGAAUGAAUUAAUCAAAGGAUCAACAGGAUUAUACUCUUAAAAUAAAAAUUAUAUAUAUAUAUCGAAGACUUUAUUUUACUAUUAAAAAAUAAUACUUCUCGUUUCGCUCGUCCACACGCACUUUUAUACUCACAUUUUACUUCGAGCUGUUGUCAAUCCGAAGGAGACAUAGCGUGAGGUGCGAACUCGACUCAACGUGAUAACACGAGAAUGCUCAUGGGGAAUAACACCAAGCAGACGUCUGUGUUUGACAUAAAAUUAUUACCGGUAAUAUUCCUUUCGCAACGAUGCAUAAAUCGGUUCGUAAAUCAAUGCUUCUAACAGACGGAACCGGAACCGGAGAAAAAGCAACAACAUUGGAAUAAUGAUGUAACGAUCACACGAUGCGAGGAAUAAUUGAGAGGCUCAUAAUUAAAUUGUGGUUGUUUACGCAUUUGAAUGAAAAAUUUCAAUGUGUAUAAAUCCACAGAAUGUGCAGAUGUGAUUAUAUAUUUAAGUUUGUGAUAUAAUUUGUUCAAAUUUGCAUAAACUACUCAAAAUAUAAUAUAAUUCUCGUCAAAAUUUUUUAUUUAUUUAGAUAAUAAUGGAUUAUUAUUUUAUACUUUGAAGAGAGUGAGAAUUAACUAAAACGAUACUUUUGUAAUGGCGAGAAAUUUGAUAGAAACUCGUAGAAAAUUUCUGAAAAACAAAUAUUCAUGAAAACUAUAUGACAAAUGACGAAAAAUCUUAUUAAAAAUAACACGUACCAUUAAACAAAAAAUUAAUAUUAUAAUAAAAAAUAGUGGAUGCAUUCAAGCACAAAUCGUCAAGCAUGCUAUUUCAUUAAAAAAAAAAAAAAAAACAAAAGAAAGAAAGAAAAGAAAAUAAAUGAAUAAAAAUUUAUCGAAUAAAAAUCGAAGAUAACGGCAUUCCUUUGCGUCCAUCCAAUAAAAUUGAACGAACCCUUCGAUUAUCUUCGUUCAGGCGUAUAGAUUUUAUCGUGGCGUGGAAAGGGCAAUCCAGUCGACUGAAUCUCUCGUUUCGACGAAGUUCACACGAAAACUGGCGGGAAUGCCACGAAUUUACGUGCUCACGCUGCCGUGAAACGUAUCUGGCCGCGUGCAACGCAGAAAUAUAACGAACGGGGGCUGGGGAUUGUGUUGAAGUAGUGAGUACGAUGACUUGAGCGCGAAAAAAAUAAUUAGAGAAGUUCGCGAAAAUGUACUCGCGUCGAAAAGUAAACUUGCUCUCUCUCUCUCAAAAUACGAGUUGUUUUUGAUAUCUCUAUGUUUUUAGAUUGUCCAGAGAAAGAUCCAAACAGGAGAAUUGCAACGAUUAUGUUUGUUCGUUUAAUUAACGAUCGUGCAAUAACCAAUUUGUGGAUGUGUGGAUACAUAGGAAAAUUGGAUUCGAUCGGUUGGAGAAGAUGGAUCUCGACUAUAUUUCAUAUAUAACUCGACCCAAUCGAUUUUCUUUUGCUUCUUGUUGAUUGUGCGGUGGAGAGAUUUGUGUUUUUGUGCUUUUAGAAAUGAAUAUGUAUUUACCUUUCUCGUUAUUUUAGGAUGGAAGCCUGGCCCAUAUGUACUAUUAUUUAUACAAUACAUAUUUUGAAAGUGAGGUUUAGCGAAAGGAAAUUGAACGAUUUGUUUAAACUUGUUUAAUCGAGAUAAAUAUAUUAGUUUUAAUUUUUUUU
Apis cerana (Asiatic honeybee) is the source of this 1764-nucleotide long non-coding RNA. RefSeq lists it as uncharacterized. The record is from RefSeq and is a predicted model, not a curated record. NCBI's taxonomy places the organism in Eukaryota, Metazoa, Arthropoda, Insecta, Hymenoptera, Apidae.